RNAcentral lists this ribosomal RNA (473 nucleotides) under uncultured bacterium. Its description in RNAcentral is "bacterial SSU rRNA". It matches the Rfam family "Bacterial small subunit ribosomal RNA", at positions 335 to 800 of the family's 1533-position model. The record is from RNAcentral.
ACUCCUACGGGAGGCAGCAGUGGGGAAUAUUGCACAAUGGGCGCAAGCCUGAUGCAGCCAUGCCGCGUGUAUGAAGAAGGCCUUCGGGUUGUAAAGUACUUUCAGCAGUGAGGAAGGUGGGUAUGUUAAUAGCAUAUUCAUUUGACGUUAGCUGCAGAAGAAGCACCGGCUAACUCCGUGCCAGCAGCCGCGGUAAUACGGAGGGUGCGAGCGUUAAUCGGAAUUACUGGGCGUAAAGCGCAUGCAGGUGGUUUGUUAAGUCAGAUGUGAAAGCCCGGGGCUCAACCUCGGAAUUGCAUUUGAAACUGGCAAACUAGAGUACUGUAGAGGGGGGUAGAAUUUCAGGUGUAGCGGUGAAAUGCGUAGAGAUCUGAAGGAAUACCGGUGGCGAAGGCGGCCCCCUGGACAGAUACUGACACUCAGAUGCGAAAGCGUGGGGAGCAAACAGGAUUAGAUACCCUGGUAGGCACAGC